UACGUAGGGUGCGAGCGUUGUCCGGAAUUAUUGGGCGUAAAGGGCUCGUAGGCGGUUUGUCACGUCGGGAGUGAAAACUCGGGGCUUAACUCCGAGCCUGCUUCCGAUACGGGCUGACUAGAGGUAUGCAGGGGAGAACGGAAUUCCUGGUGUAGCGGUGAAAUGCGCAGAUAUCAGGAGGAACACCGGUGGCGAAGGCGGGUCUCUGGGCCGAUACUGACGCUGAGGAGCGAAAGCGUGGGGAGCGAACAGG
RNAcentral lists this ribosomal RNA (253 nucleotides) under uncultured bacterium. RNAcentral describes it as "partial 16S ribosomal RNA". It matches the Rfam family "Bacterial small subunit ribosomal RNA", at positions 524 to 776 of the family's 1533-position model. The record is from RNAcentral.